ACGUGCUACAAUGGCAUAUACAAUGAGACGCAAUACCGCGAGGUGGAGCAAAUCUAUAAAAUAUGUCCCAGUUCGGAUUGUUCUCUGCAACUCGAGAGCAUGAAGCCGGAAUCGCUAGUAAUCGUAGAUCAGCCAUGCUACGGUGAAUACGUUCCCGGGUCUUGUACUCACCGCCCGUCACACCAUGGGAGUUGAUUUCACUCGAAGCCGGAAUACUAAACUAGUUACCGUCCACAGUGGAAUCAGCGACUGGGGUGAAGUCGUAACAAGGUAACCGUAGGAGAACCUGCGGUUGGAUCACCUCCUUUCUAG
This 312-nucleotide ribosomal RNA is filed under the name Campylobacter jejuni. RNAcentral describes it as "partial 16S ribosomal RNA". It matches the Rfam family "Bacterial small subunit ribosomal RNA", at positions 1220 to 1533 of the family's 1533-position model. The record is from RNAcentral. Lineage: Bacteria; Pseudomonadati; Campylobacterota; Epsilonproteobacteria; Campylobacterales; Campylobacteraceae.